UCUUUGCUGGUCUGGUGGUUAGGAUUUCUGGUUCUCAUCCAGACUACCUAGGUUUAAUUCCUAGGCAGGGAA
Molecule: non-coding RNA, 72 nt
Organism: Bos taurus (domestic cattle)
Lineage: Eukaryota; Metazoa; Chordata; Mammalia; Artiodactyla; Bovidae
Source: Rfam